RNAcentral lists this transfer RNA (71 nucleotides) under Bos taurus (domestic cattle). It matches the Rfam family "tRNA". Rfam says of the family: Transfer RNA (tRNA) molecules are approximately 80 nucleotides in length. Their secondary structure includes four short double-helical elements and three loops (D, anti-codon, and T loops). The record is from Rfam by way of RNAcentral. RNAcentral also lists the same sequence under 4 other names. Lineage: Eukaryota; Metazoa; Chordata; Mammalia; Artiodactyla; Bovidae.
UCCCUGGAGGUCCAGGGUUGGGACUUGGAACUUUCACUGCCAUGGCCCAGGUUCAAUCCCUGGUUGGGGAA